Drosophila mojavensis is the source of this 660-nucleotide long non-coding RNA. RefSeq lists it as uncharacterized. Lineage: Eukaryota; Metazoa; Arthropoda; Insecta; Diptera; Drosophilidae. The record is from RefSeq and is a predicted model, not a curated record. The transcript has 2 exons.
CUUUUCAUUUUUUGGCUGGCAUCAACUUCUCAUUUUUCAACUACAUUUUUUGUAUUUGAUAGCUUAAUAUUUCUUUAAUAAUUAUAGCCUGAAGAAUGUCCUGGUGCAGCAACACAUGUGACUUUUCUCAGCUAUAUUUGAAAGCAUUUUGGGUUCACGACAAAUUGGUGCGCCUAAAAGUAUGCAGCGAAAAUUUCCAUAUGGAAGGCUCAACAAACUAGAAAUAUUUGUAUAAAUAAAGAAAGGGUUGGCUUUUUUAUACAAUCCCCUGUCCCGUAACAACACCGAAAUAUUUCUGCGAGCUUUCAGCGUAAUUGUGGCGACCAGCAAGACGCAUUAACUUUUGUAGCUGGAUUUAUUCUUGGAGUUCUGGUCAAAAUUGCAUUGCAUACUAUUAGAUGUAGUUGUUGGGGAGGACUGGCGGUAGUUGAUUUUCGAAACAACUGAAAAGAAAAUGGAAUAUAUGUACAUAUAUUGCAUUGUGAAAUACAAACGCUUUGUUUUUAAACACUUAAAUUGUAAAAAAAUGCUAAAAAUGGGUCAGCCAGAAAACAGUUUGGACGAAAUAUAAAAUCAGCUCGAGCUUGAUUUAACUUUGAAGAUAUUGAAUGUUGCUUGAGCUCUAUUUGAAUAUAUAUUUUAAUAAAAUGUAUCUAUUAA